Small nuclear RNA from Homo sapiens (human), 102 nucleotides. The record is from Ensembl. Lineage: Eukaryota; Metazoa; Chordata; Mammalia; Primates; Hominidae.
GUGUUCAGCAUCACAUACACUAAAAUUGAAAUGAUACAGAAAAGAUUAGCAUGGCCCCUAAGCAAGGAUGACAUGCAAAUUUGUGAAGCAUUAUAUUUAUAU